This 468-nucleotide ribosomal RNA is filed under the name uncultured bacterium. Its description in RNAcentral is "partial 16S ribosomal RNA". It matches the Rfam family "Bacterial small subunit ribosomal RNA", at positions 28 to 507 of the family's 1533-position model. The record is from RNAcentral.
GACGAACGCUGGCGGCGUGCUUAACACAUGCAAGUCGAACGGAAAGGCCCUGCUUUUGUGGGGUGCUCGAGUGGCGAACGGGUGAGUAACACGUGAGUAACCUGCCCUUGACUUUGUGAUAACUUCAGGAAACUGGGGCUAAUACCGGAUAGGAGCUCCUGCUGCAUGGUGGGGGUUGGAAAGUUUCGGCGGUUGUGGAUGGACUCGCGGCUUAUCCGCUUGUUGGUGGGGUAGUGGCUUACCAAGGCUUUGACGGGUAGCCGGCCUGAGAGGGUGACCGGCCACAUUGGGACUGAGAGACGGACCAGACUCCUACGGGAGGCAGCAGUGGGGAAUAUUGCACAAUGGGCGGAAGCCUGAUACAGCAACGCCGCGUGCGGGAUGACGGCCUUCGGGUUGUAAACAGCUUUCGCCUGUGACGAAGCGGGAGUGACGGUAAUGGGUAAAGAAGCACCGGCUAACUACGUG